CGUUCCAUCACUUAUUUAAUUAAUUAUUAAUGGGAACACCUUAUUUAAUUAUUGUCAAAAGUAUUUUCUUAGAAUAUUAAAAACCAGUUCGUACAAAAUUCCCUUGGUGACGUCAUACUGGGUGUAUGGUGGUCACAUUGAUAUUUCUUGAGGUUGGUACUGAACACCGGCCGCUAGCUGUCACGAAGCCGGAACGGUGAAGAGGGAAGCAUUGGUCUUGGGAGUGUCAAUAAGAAUGGCGGCGUGAGUUUUCUAAUUAUAUAAUUAAAAUAAGUUAUUUCCAGUUGCAUAGUUCCAUUAUUGUUGUUGCAAGUUAUAGAAAGUUGAGUGAAUUAAAGUGACGGAAUAAUGAAACUGUAAGAAAAAGGAUCUCACACCGCCAUUCGGGAGAAAUCUAUUAUUACCGCUGGUAAACCCUCUCUAACACCGAGAGCAGACACUUCCAAGAUUCAGUCAACCAGGGAACAAGUCUAAGGAUACAGUCCCAUUUGUUUUGGUUCAUCAUCCUGCACCCUCCGAGGGACAGGUUCAUUAGCUAUUGGGCAGUUGCACCACUUCGGUGUUAACUUCGUACCACGGAUUUGGUACCACACACCAAGGAUCAGUGUUGGAACGCGUGAAAAGGGGUUUGUUUUGGGGGACAAUUAUUCAUACUAGUUAAAGACUUAUACUGUUUUUUUUUGUAAUAUUCAGGACAUUUAAGUUAGAUACACAUAAGUUCAUAAUUUAAUUACACAUAAAUAUUUUUUUCUUUCUCUACAAAUUUAAGUACAUUUUAGUUAUAAUAACCAUGCCUAACAGUUAGUACUGUUCCCCCAAAUUUAUAUAAUUCUUGGUAGAAGUUUCGAGCUCGAAGAUUCUCCCCAUACAUGUUCUUUCCCCUUGGUUCGUAUUAAUUUUAGACUUGUUUUCUCAGUUAAUUUAAAAAUAAUAUUAGUUCAAUUCACCUAAAUUUAAAAUAAUUCAACUUAUUUCAUAAUUUUUCAAUUUGUAUUAGAUUUUUGUAAAUAUUAUUUAACGUUAACUAUUAAUUUUUUUUAUAUUAUAUUUGAAUAAAUCCCUAGUACCCAUCCCCUCAGGAAGGUACUAGUUUUACUUGCGAUUAUUAUUUAGAACCACUAGUCAGAAAAGGAUCUUUUGUAUCCAGUACUAAGUUGGUUCAUUUAGGGACUUGUUACCCGUCAACACAUUGAGAGUUGUAAAAUAUAUAUUAUUUACAUUAGGUAUUUUCCUUAUUCUAUUAUCAGGUA
Molecule: long non-coding RNA, 1250 nt
Organism: Diabrotica virgifera virgifera (western corn rootworm)
Lineage: Eukaryota; Metazoa; Arthropoda; Insecta; Coleoptera; Chrysomelidae
Exons: 2
Source: RefSeq, a predicted model, not a curated record